UACGUAGGUGGCAAGCGUUGUCCGGAUUUAUUGGGCGUAAAGCGAGCGCAGGCGGUUCCUUAAGUCUGAUGUGAAAGCCCACGGCUCAACCGUGGAAGGUCAUUGGAAACUGGGGAACUUGAGUGCAGAAGAGGAGAGUGGAAUUCCAUGUGUAGCGGUGAAAUGCGUAGAUAUGUGGAGGAACACCAGUGGCGAAGGCGACUCUCUGGUCUGUAACUGACGCUGAGGCUCGAAAGCGUGGGGAGCAAACAGGAUUAGAUA
Molecule: ribosomal RNA, 261 nt
Filed under: uncultured prokaryote
Description: partial 16S ribosomal RNA
Rfam family: Bacterial small subunit ribosomal RNA
Source: RNAcentral